This is a non-coding RNA of Acanthosepion pharaonis, 113 nucleotides long. The record is from the annotation of a GenBank genome assembly. NCBI's taxonomy places the organism in Eukaryota, Metazoa, Mollusca, Cephalopoda, Sepiida, Sepiidae.
UUACGGCCAUGUCACGUUGAAGCACUAGUUCUCGUAUGAUCACCGAAGUUAAGCAACGUCGAUUCUGGUCAGUACUUAGAUGGUUGGUCCUUUGGGGAUGCCAGAUGUUGUAA